RNAcentral lists this ribosomal RNA (404 nucleotides) under Actinomycetes bacterium. RNAcentral's name for it is "Actinobacteria bacterium partial 16S ribosomal RNA". It matches the Rfam family "Bacterial small subunit ribosomal RNA", at positions 355 to 776 of the family's 1533-position model. Lineage: Bacteria; Bacillati; Actinomycetota; Actinomycetes. The record is from RNAcentral.
UGGGGAAUAUUGGACAAUGGGCGCAAGCCUGAUCCAGCCAUGCCGCGUGAGUGAUGAAGGCACUAGGGUUGUAAAGCUCUUUCACCGGUGAAGAUAAUGACGGUAACCGGAGAAGAAGCCACGGCUAACUUCGUGCCAGCAGCCGCGGUAAUACGAAGGGGGCUAGCGUUGUUCGGAUUUACUGGGCGUAAAGCGCACGUAGGCGGACUAUUAAGUCAGGGGUGAAAUCCCGGGGCUCAACCCCGGAACUGCCUUUGAUACUGGUAGUCUUUAGUUCGAGAGAGGUGAGUGGAAUUCCGAGUGUAGAGGUGAGAUUCGUAGAUAUUCGGAGGAACACCAGUGGCGAAGGCGGCUCACUGGCUCGAUACUGACGCUGAGGUGCGAAAGCGUGGGGAGCAAACAGG